GUGGGGAAUAUUGGACAAUGGGCGAAAGCCUGAUCCAGCCAUGCAGCGUGUGUGAAGAAGGUCUUCGGAUUGUAAAGCACUUUAAGUUGGGAGGAAGGGCAGUAAGUUAAUACCUUGCUGUUUUGACGUUACCGACAGAAUAAGCACCGGCUAACUUCGUGCCAGCAGCCGCGGUAAUACGAAGGGUGCAAGCGUUAAUCGGAAUUACUGGGCGUAAAGCGCGCGUAGGUGGUUUUGUAAGUUGGAGGUGAAAUCCCCGGGCUCAACCUGGGAACUGCCUCCAAAACUGCAUGACUAGAGUACGGUAGAGGGUAGUGGAAUUUCCUGUGUAGCGGUGAAAUGCGUAGAUAUAGGAAGGAACACCAGUGGCGAAGGCGACUACCUGGACUGAUACUGACACUGAGGUGCGAAAGCGUGGGGAGCAAACAGGAUUAGAUACCCGAGUAGUCC
Molecule: ribosomal RNA, 450 nt
Filed under: uncultured bacterium
Lineage: Bacteria
Description: partial 16S ribosomal RNA
Rfam family: Bacterial small subunit ribosomal RNA
Source: RNAcentral